GCUCCUUCCUCGCUCUCAUCUCACGCAUGACCUACCUUCGCCAACCCUAGGUGUGCCGCCGCCACCAUGAUCUUCAUCUCGCAGCCCCUCAACCGCCCCGUCGGAGCGGCGCCUCCGUCUACGCCUAGCCGCCGCUGUUCUCCUUCUCAUGUCUUCCCAAAAGGUGCAGCAGGGAGCAUCUUUUUCUCGAGCCGACGACGAUCUCUAUCCCCAAAUCAGUGGCGCACUACAUCCCUGAAGCACAAGUCCGAUUUUUCAAGCCAUAUCUAGAGUCCUCAGGCGCGCCGUCCCCAGAUCCAGCAUGUCGAGCAACUAGCCGGAGAUCCUUUGUAGAUGUCAACAGAAGGUGUCAAGGUGAUCAGUAUAUUAGAGACUUCAAGUGAUCUGAACCGGAAGUUGUCAAAGUUUAGUACCUGAAUUUGGUUGAUCCGAAUGAGAAUACCAGAUGGUUGAUACGAACCGGAGCGGCUGUUUGUCUAUUCAACGGACGAAAUCGAUCCGCUGUGGUUUGAAGGAAGUAAUCAAUCUUCAGUUUCUGGUUGACUCAUGGUGGAUGAUGUAUGCCACUUGCUGGUGACGCUUAAGGCAGUGGCGUUCAUGCUGGUUGUAGUCAAUUGUUUUGGGUAAAUCUUGGAGACUGAUUCUGGCAUUUUGAUUUUGGGAAUGUUUUAGUCUUGAAUCUCAGAUGGCUAUUGGACAGGUUAUUACUAGCGCAUUUGGGGAAUUCUUAAGUUUCCAACCCCCGGUGGAUAGCGGCUGUUAAUUUUGUUCUAUUGGUUUUCCAUCAUGCUCGAAGUUAGAUGGAUUUGUGCAGAUUCUCUAAAGUAGAGGAUUGGUCAAGGCAGAUGAUUACCAACGCUAGAGUACCAGUUGUGAUGAUUUUUUUUAUCUUGGGAGUGGCUUCUCUUGUAGUGUACGCAUCCAUAUAGAAAAACGGGGAAGUUAGCACAACAUUGUUGGAUCUAUGCAAUGAAAAUAUAUCCAUUAGUUAUAUUUUUGUAUAGGAAGUUAUAUUGUAGUUUGGUUUGCACAAAGUUUUAAAUUAAAAAUCUGUACUAAUAUGCAAGUAAAUUUUCUAAUAAUAACUCACGUGUUUUCGAACAAGGCAUUCUAAUGGCAGUGAAAUUUAAAAGCCAUGAAGUUGUUGAAAUCAGGUACUGCAAUGGUCUUUUAUUUUCCAGCCAACAGGUAAUAAAAAUCAACCAUGAAAAUCUGAAGUGCUCUGUUCUUAGAGUUCCAUGGCUUAAGCAGAGAACGUCUGCAGCAGAAAACUUAUUUGGAAAAUGUUGUUUUUGAAAUGUUUAUUGGGGGAAUCUCCCAAAUAGAACUGUAUUAGCUGAAUUAUGUUGCUUAACUUUUUGAUCCAGUUUUUUCAUUAAAAAAAGGCAGCCCAGUGCAUGUAGCUCCCACUUGCGCAGGGUCCGGGGAAAGGUCUGACCACUUUGGGUCUAUAGUACGUGGCCUUUCCCUACACAUUUCUGUAAGAGGCUGUUUGAGACUUGGAACCCAUGAGGUCAUGGUCACAUGGCAGCAGCUUUACCACUGCGCCUACCUAAGAAUUACUUCAUGUUCUGGUUCCCUUUUUCUGUUAUGUCUUGUGAGCAUACACAAAGCUGUCCAGGGAGUAUAUAUCUUCUCCAAGAAGCAAAGGUAAAAUCUAAUUAGAAGAAUGCGUGUUUUUAGUAGUAGCACCUAACCUCCUUAUUGGAUUUGCUUAAAGUGUAUGGGUUCCUGUGGUCUCCACGUGAUGUGUGUAUGGAUGCCAGGUCAAUUUGUUUGCAGGUAUCCACUAACCCAGGAAACACCACAGAACCUGUUUGCCUCUUAGAAUCAGACAUCACAGAGCAGCCAUUUCGGCAAUUCUCAAAUGUUCAUGUCCAUUCCAAGCUUUACAUAUAUAUCUUUCCUUGAAAUAAAUAAAUUCUAAUUAGAAACAAGCCCAUCAUAAAGGAGGACCUAGCAAUUUUAUUUCCAUAGAUUGAAGAAAUAAAUGAAGAACUUGGUUUUUGCUUAAUAUGUGCGUAUAUUAUUUGAAUCCUUCCUGCUAUUUUUAUGAAGCAUCACUUCUUAAUCAUCAUUUAUGGAGGUUCUUUCAGUAUGUAGUCUAUAGAUGUUGCUUUAUUUAUAAGUGUAUAUAUUUUCUGUAGAUGGCAUCUCAAGCACUUGCUCAAAUAAAUUAUAAUUUAUUUAUACAUGCUGGUUUUGAUGUGAAUAAAAUUACCUAUAUAGGCUUUACUUGAUGGCAGCGACGAACAGUGUCCUACCUUGUAUGAUUAAGUGCUCACUAGAUGCUGGUGCUAACCCCAAAUAUUCCUGGCCAAGGAUACUGGAAGAGGGGUUGUUGACUGUUGAUGUUAUUAAAGUAGACUUCACUAUUCAGAUUGAUAAAGUUGAAAUCUGGUCUUCCUGCAUUAUAGUUUCCAUUUCCACUAGAGGAUUUCACUUUCAUUACCACUGAUGUUUUAUUUAGCAUUAGCGCUAAUUCAUUUAUUUCCUUCAAAUUGAAAGCAAAUAGUAUUAUCAUCUGAAACCUCACACCUGUAAUUUGAAUGUUGUCAGUAUCAAAGAAAUAAUACUUGCCAUUUUAUAACUUAGUAGUUGGCAAGUUGUCUGUGAGCUACCAAUUGAGCAUAGAAUAGAGGUGGAGGUAUUGUGCUAUUGUUUCUGACUGAAUUGGCGCUAAUGCACGAUUGAGCUGAUGAUAGUGCAUGUAGUUUUAAGUGUAGCCGACUGAGGAUGAUACAUUGCUUCUUAAAGUUUAAUCUAUGACUAGGGGAAGUACCUAUACUAAUUUGCUCUCAGUUUGUUUUGUAUUUUGUGAUUUUGUUUAUUAUAGAUUGAUUCAAACAAUGAUAGUCGGCUUUGUAACCGAUUUCCUUUACAUAUAUUUCUUUUUAAGAUUCAGAUUUGCCUGAUACCGGCUAGCACACCGACCAUUUGGUACAUCAAGCGUUGGAUUGAGAAAUAUGCACUGUGUCUACCAGUUUUCUAUUGUUCACAUUUUAUUAUAUGUUUUCAAAGUAUCUACAAAUAAGACGCAUAACCAGCCCAUUGAAAAUGAUUAACCUUCAUUCUGGACUCAUGUUUGGAAAGAAAACAUAAAUUUUGCUGAAAAAGAACUCUACGCUUUUACAUAAAUUCCUAGCACUUUAUACUACAUUAAAAAAAGAUGGGUGCAACAACGCACGCCAUCAAUGAUCUAGUGUAUAAUGUUACUAUACGAUGUUUUUCAACAGGGACUCCCGAUGACA
Molecule: long non-coding RNA, 3251 nt
Organism: Triticum aestivum (bread wheat)
Lineage: Eukaryota; Viridiplantae; Streptophyta; Magnoliopsida; Poales; Poaceae
Exons: 5
Source: RefSeq, a predicted model, not a curated record